GCCAAGAACUCUGAUGCUUCUAAAUUUACAUCUGGGUAGCAGAUUUGCUCUGAAGUUGGACUACUGGAAACAAAUUCAAUGUUUCAGAAAUGUUACAAAGAGUUACAUUCUUCUGGUCUCAUCCAUCCAGCUUCUCAUGGGGACAGAUGGUCUGCCCGAUCCUCUUACGUGGUUCGACGUGCUCCGAGUUGCAAAGGGAGGUGGUAGCCAGGAAAAGCCUCCCGAGAUGACACCAGGACCCACUAGUGUUCUUGGUGAUGUGUGUCACGCCUGUGGAAAGCUGAAGUCCCCUGUUACUACAGCCCGCAGAGCUGUUUGUCCUGGAGACAGACAGAAGGAUGCGCUGGCUGAGACUAGGAGCAAAGGCAAGAGCAGCAUCUGGGAACUAGCCUCUACAGUCCAUGCUUCUAUUGGUAGCUGGGGACGCCAGGAAGAUGCGGGAAGCAUGCGCAGAGCUCAAGGUGUGGCGCACACGCCCUCUUCGCUGCUUUACUCUACCCCAGCCUCCGACACACAGAAGAAGAAUGUUUUCCAUAUGUGGAUCGGUGAGAUUUCUAAAUUCGAAAUGUAUGGAGACAAUUUGAGCUGGCUUAUAGAAUGCGCGUUCUCUUGGCAGUGGUCCCUAACUCUAUUUUCAUAACCGUUUCUCCCCACCCAGCACUGUAACUGUGGGUGAGCGUAAAGUACCAGCCAAGCGGCAGCUAGUGAGUGGUUUCCACUUCUACAAUCUGGAGUGAUUUCCGCCUCCAUUGGCUAAAUAAAGAAAGGUUCACAUUUACCUGAUUCUUCAGUUUACAAAUGAAAUAGCCCAUGUCCCGGUCACUUCUCGGGUUCUUUAGAAGCUGGAAGAUGCUUGGUACUUUUCCCGGAGUCUAUGAGAACUAGCUUUCGUUGUCCUUGAGGUUCAGGAUGGACACGUAUAGCCUUACAACCAACAUCUGUUUAGGAUGCAAGCAAGGAUGGGAUUGAGCCAGCACAGUGGGGUGGAAAUGACACUGAUCUCGGUUUACCCAAUGUCCCUGUAUUGUGCUUGUGAUGAAGAUAGAAACAAUUCAUGAUUUGGAGGCAAGAAAGAUGCUUAGUGAUAAAUAAAGGGUGUAAGUGGGUGACUUGGGGCAUUAAGAAGCGGUAAUAUAAGACAAACACCUCCUGGAGGCAGAAGGGACAGGGAGGGCUAAACACCCGAGCCUCUAGACCAUGGAGAGAGAAGACAAGAAAUUACAAAGUCUGCCCUAGGUCUCAGUCUGUUUGAGUUGAACUGCCACUGUCCAGACUUGACCUUGGGAAGCAGAGGAGUCCACAGGGUUAAGAACUUGGUGAGAAAGGAGUCAUUGGCUACCCAAGAGUCAGGGAAUAACAAACCAAGUUCAACUCUGACAGGUAAGUGUUUGGUUGAGAUUCUGGGGAAUAAAUUUCAAAAUAGAUUGGAGCCCAGAUAAUGGACUUGAGGAUGCCCAGGCUUACGGAGAGAGAGAGAGAGAGAGAGAGAGAGAGAGAGAGAGAGAGAGAGAGAGAGAGAGAGAGAGAGAGUGUGUCCUGUGUGCUUCAUAGAGGAAAUUCUGCCUCUGUAACCUGGAGAGAAACAGCUCUGUAUUAGUGGCCAAGGAUUCUAAAUUAAAAAGACUUGAAGAGCUAAGAAACAGUCCAUGGUCCAUUGCUAAUUCUCCAUAUAGCUUGAACACAGAGAGGGUAACACUUAGGUCUGUAGUCGCGAUGGGCCCGGUCUGGCGGGCAUAACAAGUGCACCCCUCUGGUGGGUGGUGCUGGAGGCAGUACGUUCAUGGCGGGCAGAAGCCUGAGGGAAAUCUUAGCACCUUCUGCUCAAUUUUGCUGCAAUCCUAAAAGUGUUCUGAACAACUUCUUUGACAAAGACUAACAACCCACGGUCCUAGAGACUACGAAACACUCUCACAUAACAGUUGGGUUGAUAUUGACCACUUUGGUAAAAAUUUCAAAAAAAAUAUGCUAAAAUAUGCCUAGCAGUUUCAGAAUUAGUGAGUAUUGUUCAUAGGAUGUGAUGUAAUGGGAAAUGGUAUUUGGUAGCAGUAAUUAGUAUUAUUGAAUGAGGAAAAAUGGGUUUAUGAAUUCCUUUCUUGGUACAAAUACAAGUGUAGACAAAUGUGCAUUAGCAGACAUAUACUUGUAGACUUGUAGACAGACAGACAGAGAUAGACAGAGACAUGCACAGAGAGAGGAGAGGACAUUCUUGUUUCAAAUUAGAAAUGCCUAGACAGGAGCAAAGGCUUCAACACAACUGUGAACAUGGGGACUUUCCAUACAAUCUGCUUGCUGGGUGUGUGUGGAUUUGAUGAGGCAAUGAUACUGAGCCAAGACCCACUGUCACUGUGACUGUUUAUCUUGAAGAUGCAGUGCUCUGCCAGUGAACUAUGUGGGUGCGAAUCGAGGGGGGAGAGUGACAGGAUAGCAUCCCAGCCUGGCAGGCACUGAGGAGACAACACUGUUUCCUAAGGCACCGUGAGGGAUUGGAUGAGGGUAUCUGCCUUGUGCUUGGAUGGACGGCUAGUGCCUCAUCAUCAGGGAAGCAUUGCUGGAGAUGACUCCAUCUGCCUCACUGUGUGCCGUGUGUGCUUGGUAAAUAUUUAAUGUCAACACUGCACCCUCCUCAGGCUUGCUAAAUCACUCCCUGGAUCUCAGGUGGCAGCUCUGAUACCUCCCCAGAAAGGAGACACAGCCUCCCGUGUGGCCACAUCAUAGGCAGCUCCGUUGAUGUGCUCUCGAGCUCUCUGCGCUGUCUGUGGCAACAGUGUACUAGAGCAGGUACCUAAAGACUGAUGAGCCAACAGAAGGGCAAAGAUCAGAGUCUCCUUUGUCCCUAUUCCCUAUAGAUGCUGCCUUUUGGUACGUCAAUUUUCUAGAUGAUGAAUUUGGAGAGGGUCAGUGGUCCAAAGACAAACCACGGGUGUGGCAGAGGCUGGGUCCUAAGCACAUAUUAUUCCCAAUAUCAUGGACAGACAACUCACAUCUCUACCUCCCUGUGAAGCACAGCUUUGUCCCUAAUAAUGUCAUUCAUCUUCCUGGUUUCAUGCUAUGAUGAUGGCUGCCUCUCUCUCCUGUCUCUACAGGGGAGUUGUUCUCCUGGAAGUGAAAUUAGAAAACCUGGCAAAGUAAUGGGCCUGAAGUAUUCCACUGAGUCAUCUCCCAGCCCACUGAGCACAAAGACAUGGAAGAGUCUAGGCCAACAGUUGAUUGAGUUUGCUUUUAUCCUGGUGGGUUAGAGCCAUGUGGAUGCCCAGUGUGACAGGGGUGUGUGUGUGUGUGUGUGUCUGUGUCUGUGUCUGUGUCUGUGUGUCUGUGUGUAUUUGUAUGUGUCUGUGUAUGUCUGUGUGUCUGUGUGUGUGUCUGUGUGUCUGUGUAUUUGUGUGUGUGUGUUUGUGUCUGUAUGUCUGUGUGUCUGUGUAUUUGUGUGUGUAUGUGUGUGUUUGUGUCUGUGUGUGUGUGUUUGUAUGUAUCUGUGUGUGUGUCUGUGUGUGUGUCUGUGUAUUUGUGUGUGUGUGUGUGUGUGUGUGUGUGUGUGCCAACCUCAUAACCAAACAUGUAGAAUUUUUCCAAUCCAGAGUA
Non-coding RNA from Rattus norvegicus (Norway rat), 3579 nucleotides. The record is from RefSeq and is a predicted model, not a curated record. Lineage: Eukaryota; Metazoa; Chordata; Mammalia; Rodentia; Muridae.